Long non-coding RNA from Stegastes partitus (bicolor damselfish), 413 nucleotides. RefSeq lists it as uncharacterized. The transcript is spliced from 4 exons. The record is from RefSeq and is a predicted model, not a curated record. NCBI's taxonomy places the organism in Eukaryota, Metazoa, Chordata, Actinopteri, Pomacentridae.
CAGACCUGGUUUCAGUUCAGGCAGAGAUCGGGGGCAAACACACAACCCAAAUCGGGGGUUUCUAUUCAAAGCCAGCUGGUCUGGCUUUAUUACAUGCAGGACAUUUAUUUUAAGAAGUUUGUUGGUCAUUUUUUUUUUUUUUUGUUUGUUUUCUUUUUUUUGUCAACUAUCUCUUUUGUUUUGUUCUCUUUUGAAACAUUUUUAACAGUUUGAGCUGGGCCUCAGCUGGUGCUGCAGGGUGUAACUUCCUGGGGAAGCAGAGAAAAAGGCACGGGUGCCAACCGAAGACAACCUCAAGCAUUGCGAAAGGACCUCUCCAAUGAACUGCUGACAGCCAACGAAGAAAGCUUCGAGAGCGAGAACGGAAGACGAAAGACGAAGGAACACUGAACGUGGUACAGAUGCUGGACUCA